CGCACCUUGCACCCUUUGGCAUUCCGAAGGGUACACCCGUUUGAGAAUCAUUGUACUCUCAUCUCUACACCUUUGUGUGAAGAGUUGGAAUUGGACGUCUGUCGUAGCGAUACGACUCGUCUGAAAAGUCUCAGUAUACCUCAUCUAUCGGUGUAUUUGAUGUGAUAAUAUCUUCAUCAAUCAUGUCCUCUGGACGUGCGCCUUUAUUGAGCACUAUGCUUCGAACCGUCUCUUUGAGACAAUACCUGACAAUUUGAUCUCAGAUCGGGUGGGACUACCCGCUGAACUUAA
Molecule: unclassified non-coding RNA, 291 nt
Filed under: Sebacinales sp.
Lineage: Eukaryota; Fungi; Basidiomycota; Agaricomycetes; Sebacinales
Description: partial contains 5.8S ribosomal RNA, internal transcribed spacer 2, and large subunit ribosomal RNA
Source: RNAcentral